UACGGGGGGGGCAAGCGUUGUUCGGAAUUACUGGGCGUAAAGGGCUCGUAGGCGGCCAACUAAGUCGGACGUGAAAUCCCCAGGCUCAACCUGGGAACUGCGUCCGAUACUGGAUGGCUUGAAUCCGGGAGAGGGAUGCAGAAUUCCAGGUGUAACGGUGAAAUGCGUAGAUAUCUGGAGGAAUACCGGUGGCGAAGGCGGCAUCCUGGACCGGCAUUGACGCUGAGGAGCGAAAGCCAGGGGAGCAAACGGG
This 253-nucleotide ribosomal RNA is filed under the name uncultured bacterium. RNAcentral's name for it is "partial 16S ribosomal RNA". It matches the Rfam family "Bacterial small subunit ribosomal RNA", at positions 524 to 776 of the family's 1533-position model. The record is from RNAcentral.